This 482-nucleotide ribosomal RNA is filed under the name uncultured bacterium. Its description in RNAcentral is "partial 16S ribosomal RNA". It matches the Rfam family "Bacterial small subunit ribosomal RNA", at positions 27 to 507 of the family's 1533-position model. The record is from RNAcentral.
GGAUGAACGCUGGCGGCGUGCUUAACCCAUGCAAGUCGAACGAAGCACUUUAUUUGAUUUCCUUCGGGACUGAUUAUUUUGUGACUGAGUGGCGGACGGGUGAGUAACGCGUGGGUAACCUGCCUUGUACAGGGGGAUAACAGUUGGAAACGGCUGCUAAUACCGCAUAAGCGCACAGCAUCGCAUGAUGCAGUGUGAAAAACUCCGGUGGUAUAAGAUGGACCCGCGUUGGAUUAGCUAGUUGGUGAGGUAACGGCCCACCAAGGCGACGAUCCAUAGCCGACCUGAGAGGGUGACCGGCCACAUUGGGACUGAGACACGGCCCAAACUCCUACGGGAGGCAGCAGUGGGGAAUAUUGCACAAUGGGCGAAAGCCUGAUGCAGCGACGCCGCGUGAGCGAAGAAGUAUUUCGGUAUGUAAAGCUCUAUCAGCAGGGAAGAUAAUGACGGUACCUGACUAAGAAGCACCGGCUAAAUACGUG